CGUGCUUAACACAUGCAAGUCGAACGGAAAGGCCCUGCUUUUGUGGGGUGCUCGAGUGGCGAACGGGUGAGUAACACGUGAGUAACCUGCCCUUGACUUUGGGAUAACUUCAGGAAACUGGGGCUAAUACCGGAUAGGAGCUCCUGCUGCAUGGUGGGGGUUGGAAAGUUUCGGCGGUUGGGGAUGGACUCGCGGCUUAUCAGCUUGUUGGUGGGGUAGUGGCUUACCAAGGCUUUGACGGGUAGCCGGCCUGAGAGGGUGACCGGCCACAUUGGGACUGAGAUACGGCCCAGACUCCUACGGGAGGCAGCAGUGGGGAAUAUUGCACAAUGGGCGGAAGCCUGAUGCAGCAACGCCGCGUGCGGGAUGACGGCCUUCGGGUUGUAAACCGCUUUCGCCUGUGACGAAGCGAGAGUGACGGUAAUGGGUAAAGAAGCACCGGCUAACUACGUGCCAGCAGCCGCGGUGAUACGUAGGGUGCGAGCGUUGUCCGGAUUUAUUGGGCGUAAAGGGCUCGUAGGUGGUUGAUCGCGUCGGAAGUGUAAUCUUGGGGCUUAACCCUGAGCGUGCUUUCGAUACGGGUUGACUUGAGGAAGGUAGGGGAGAAUGGAAUUCCUGGUGGAGCGGUGGAAUGCGCAGAUAUCAGGAGGAACACCAGUGGCGAAGGCGGUUCUCUGGGCCUUUCCUGACGCUGAGGAGCGAAAGCGUGGGGAGCGAGCAGGCUUAGAUACCCUGGUAGUCCACGCUGUAAACGGUGGGUACUAGGUGUGGGGUCCAUUCCACGGGUUCCGUGCCGUAGCUAACGCUUUAAGUACCCCGCCUGGGGAGUACGGCCGCAAGGCUAAAACUCAAAGGAAUUGACGGGGCCCCGCACAAGCGGCGGAGCAUGCGGAUUAAUUCGAUGCAACGCGUAGAACCUUACCUGGGUUUGACAUGGAUCGGGAGUGCUCAGAGAUGGGUGUGCCUCUUUUGGGGUCGGUUCACAGGUGGUGCAUGGCUGUCGUCAGCUCGUGUCGUGAGAUGUUGGGUUAAGUCCCGCAACGAGCGCAACCCUUGUUCACUGUUGCCAGCACGUUAUGGUGGGGACUCAGUGGAGACCGCCGGGGUCAACUCGGAGGAAGGUGGGGGUGACGUCAAGUCAUCAUGCCCCUUAUGUCCAGGGCUUCACGCAUGCUACAAUGGCUGGUACAGAGAGUGGCGAGCCUGUGAGGGUGAGCGAAUCUCGGAAAGCCGGUCUCAGUUCGGAUUGGGGUCUGCAACUCGACCUCAUGAAGUCGGAGUCGCUAGUAAUCGCAGAUCAGCAACGCUGCGGUGAAUACGUUCCCGGGGCUUGUACACACCGCCCGUCAAGUCAUGAAAGUUGGUAACACCCGAAGCCGGUGGCCUAACCGUUGUGGGGGAGCCGUCGAAGGUGGGACUGGUGAUUAGG
Molecule: ribosomal RNA, 1429 nt
Filed under: uncultured organism
Description: 16S ribosomal RNA
Rfam family: Bacterial small subunit ribosomal RNA
Source: RNAcentral